Molecule: ribosomal RNA, 508 nt
Filed under: uncultured bacterium
Lineage: Bacteria
Description: partial 16S ribosomal RNA
Rfam family: Bacterial small subunit ribosomal RNA
Source: RNAcentral
GACGAACGCUGGCGGCGCGCUUAACACAUGCAAGUCGAGCGAGAACCAGACCUUCGGGUCUGGGGAAAGCGGCGAACGGGUGAGUAACACGUGGGUAACCCACCCUUGGUACCGGGAUAGCCCGGGGAAACCCGGAUUAAUACCGGAUGGCCCAACAGCUCUUCGGGGCGGUUGGAAAAGGUAGCUUCGGCCUCCGACCAAGGACGGGCCCGCGGCGGAUUAGCUUGUUGGUGGGGUAACGGCCCACCAAGGCGACGAUCCGUAGCUGGUCUGAGAGGACGAUCAGCCACACUGGGACUGAGACACGGCCCAGAUUCCUACGGGAGGCAGCAGUGGGGAAUCUUGCGCAAUGGGCGAAAGCCUGACGCAGCGACGCCGCGUGGGGGAAGAAGGCUUUCGGGUUGUAAACCCCUUUCAGGAGGGACGAAGCCACUCGGGUGAAUAGCCCAGAGGGUGACGGUACCUCCAGAAGGAGCCCCGGCUAACUACGUGCCAGCCGCCGCAGUAA